GACGAACGCUGGCGGCGUGCCUAACACAUGCAAGUCGAGCGAGGAAAUUUCUUCGGAGGUUUCCUAGCGGCGGACGGGUGAGUAACACGUGGGCAACCUGCCUCGAAGAGGGGGAUAGCCUCCCGAAAGGGAGAUUAAUACCGCAUAAUAUCGGUUUAUCGCAUGAUUUACUGAUUAAAGGAGAAAUCCGCUUCGAGAUGGGCCCGCGGCGCAUUAGCUAGUUGGUGAGGUAACGGCUCACCAAGGCGACGAUGCGUAGCCGACCUGAGAGGGUGAUCGGCCACAUUGGGACUGAGACACGGCCCAGACUCCUACGGGUGGCAG
RNAcentral lists this ribosomal RNA (324 nucleotides) under uncultured Bacillota bacterium. RNAcentral's name for it is "bacterial SSU rRNA". It matches the Rfam family "Bacterial small subunit ribosomal RNA", at positions 28 to 351 of the family's 1533-position model. Lineage: Bacteria; Bacillati; Bacillota. The record is from RNAcentral.